CAAGAGUAGCCUGGGCAACAUGGCGGAAACUCCAUCUCUACAAAAAAGUAGCCAGCUGCUGAGAUAGAUGUUAAAAAUCAAGGCCAGGACUACAGUAAGGCUGAAAUCAUUGAAGUGCUUGGAGCAGAACUGAAAGAGGAAAACAACAAACACAGUAAGAGUCAACACCAAAGACUUCAGUGACCCCCAGAUAUGUGGGGAUUUCCCCUAUCAGCAAGCAAGCAAGCAAUCAGUUCUGCAGCAGACACCAACUGCGUAUCCUCCAAUUUAAUUCUGACACUAUCUGCCUGGAAAUAGCAUCAGAUCCCUCAGGCUGAGGGCUCAGUCCCUAAGACUGCCAUCUGUUCAGACACCAGUUGCAAGUCUGGGCCUCUAGAACUUCUGACCAACCGGGCUUCAAGUUGGCGUUCCCAGACAUUUACAGUGGCUCAUGGCUGGAGGAUCCCUUGAGGCCAAGAGUUCAAGACCAGUCUGGGCAACGUGAGACCUGUCUCAAGAAAAUAAAAAGUAAAAUUAGCU
Long non-coding RNA from Rhinopithecus roxellana (golden snub-nosed monkey), 519 nucleotides. RefSeq lists it as uncharacterized. The transcript has 3 exons. The record is from RefSeq and is a predicted model, not a curated record. NCBI's taxonomy places the organism in Eukaryota, Metazoa, Chordata, Mammalia, Primates, Cercopithecidae.